Molecule: ribosomal RNA, 301 nt
Filed under: uncultured bacterium
Lineage: Bacteria
Description: partial 16S ribosomal RNA
Rfam family: Bacterial small subunit ribosomal RNA
Source: RNAcentral
CAGUAGCCGCGGGAAUACGUAGGGUGCAAGCGUUGUCCGGAAUCAUUGGGCGUAAAGCGCGCGUAGGUGGCCAUUUAAGUCCGCUGUGAAAGUCAAAGGCUCAACCUUUGAAAGCCGGUGGAUACUGGAUGGCUAGAGUACGGAAGAGGCGAGUGGAAUUCCUGGUGUAGCGGUGGACUGCGCAGAUAUCAGGAGGAACACCAAUAGCGAAGGCAGCUCGCUGGGACGUUACUGACACUGAGGCGCGAAAGCGUGGGGAGCGAACAGGAUUAGAUACCCCAGUAGUCCCUGUCUCUUAUAC